Long non-coding RNA from Varanus komodoensis (Komodo dragon), 1225 nucleotides. RefSeq lists it as uncharacterized. The transcript is spliced from 2 exons. NCBI's taxonomy places the organism in Eukaryota, Metazoa, Chordata, Lepidosauria, Squamata, Varanidae. The record is from RefSeq and is a predicted model, not a curated record.
GUUAAUGCAAUGAUACAAAAACUAAGCAGAUGAAACUAUCUUUUGUGAAAUCUUCUGCAUUGCAAAAGAGCUCCCUCCCCUCUUUCAGCAGUAAGAACAAGUCUUGCCUCCAAAAGCAGGCUUUUUUGUCCUUAGGCAGUGUGAAUGCUGCUUCUAGUGUAGCUAAAAUGUAUAGAUCAUGACCAAGAUGUAUUCUGGUUCCAUCACUCUGUUAGCUGGAAAUCUCCAACAGACAGAGGAACAAAAUUUCCCUAAACAUCCACAUCCAGUUCAAGGCACAGCACAGUACUGGAUCAGACCCUACAAAUUAUAUCUGCAGUUCCUCAUAUUUCUUCCUAGUCACACUAGAGGAAGACUUUGAAUUUCAAGGUUAAAUUACAUCCACACUGAAUGUGCUAUGGAACCAAACUGCAAAAGACUCAUAGUAAACUCUGGGCAUUUGCUUGAUGAACAGAACCAAAUCUGGUUCCAUUGGAACAGAACAAAAUGUGAGUAGAAACAGUUCAGUCACUCUCUCAUUCAGAGAGAUAACAGAUAAUAACCACUAACAUAAAUGGAAAUUUCUUAUACCAUGCAAGACAAUGGGCAUACCUAACCCAGUGCCGGGUCCUCUGACUGCUUACUGCUCUCCAAGAUUUUAGAGGCAAUUCUAAACAGCUGCUACCCGAGCCUUUGACAAAAUUCUAGGAAUUAAAACAUCCUGAAUGCAAAGUAUGAGUUCUGCCACCGAACUAUGGGUCCAAAUGGAAUAGCUCCCUUCCACAUGGAAAGUCAUCCUGACAGAUCAAACUAGCAGGCACACAGGCUGGCUCCACCUGGGAAGCAGUUUCACUUGCAAUUAGCUGCUGGUUUAGUCCCUUAUGGAAGGUUAAAAAAAGCUCUCCUGCACAACUAAGCAAGUCUCCAUUCUCAUUCCUGGUAUUGAAGAACUUCUGGGAGAUAACAGAACAAAAAGAAACUGUUUUGGCAGCCUCCAGGACACAUACAGUUUUAUCACAAUGCUGUUCAUUCAGGUGGCAUGCCAGACUGACUGAUUCCUAUUUGGAAGAGGAGAAGUUACUGUCCUGCAUCAGCUGAAGCAGACUCUGUGUGGAGGAGUUCUCCCAAAAGCAACAUAAUGAAACUGCACUCUUUCCACACUGGGAAGACUCCUUAGAAAGUACUUACUGUCCCACGGGAUACCAGCGAUGUUUUGUUGUAUAAAACAUUUUACUAAGCUCUUCAA